GACGAACGCUGGCGGCGUGCUUAACACAUGCAAGUCGAACGGAAAGGCCCUGCUUUUGUGGGGUGCUCGAGUGGCGAACGGGUGAGUAACACGUGAGUAACCUGCCCUUGACUUUGGGAUAACUUCAGGAAACUGGGGCUAAUACCGGAUAGGAGCUCCUGCUGCAUGGUGGGGGUUGGAAAGUUUCGGCGGUUGGGGAUGGACUCGCGGCUUAUCAGCUUGUUGGUGGGGUAGUGGCUUACCAAGGCUUUGACGGGUAGCCGGCCUGAGAGCGUGACCGGCCACAUUGGGACUGAGAUACGGCCCAGACUCCUACGGGAGGCAGCAGGGGGGAAUAUUGCACAAUGGGCGGGAGCCUGAGGCAGCGACGCCGCGUGCGGGAUGACGGCCUUCGGGGUGUAAACCGCUUUCGCCUGUGACGAAGCGUGAGUGACGGUAAUGGGUAAAGAAGCACCGGCUAACUAUGUG
RNAcentral lists this ribosomal RNA (468 nucleotides) under uncultured bacterium. Its description in RNAcentral is "partial 16S ribosomal RNA". It matches the Rfam family "Bacterial small subunit ribosomal RNA", at positions 28 to 507 of the family's 1533-position model. The record is from RNAcentral.